This 835-nucleotide ribosomal RNA is filed under the name Clostridioides difficile. Its description in RNAcentral is "bacterial SSU rRNA". It matches the Rfam family "Bacterial small subunit ribosomal RNA", at positions 1 to 865 of the family's 1533-position model. The record is from RNAcentral. Lineage: Bacteria; Bacillati; Bacillota; Clostridia; Peptostreptococcales; Peptostreptococcaceae.
UUAUUUGAGAGUUUGAUCCUGGCUCAGGAUGAACGCUGGCGGCGUGCCUAACACAUGCAAGUUGAGCGAUUUACUUCGGUAAAGAGCGGCGGACGGGUGAGUAACGCGUGGGUAACCUACCCUGUACACACGGAUAACAUACCGAAAGGUAUGCUAAUACGGGAUAAUAUAUUUGAGAGGCAUCUCUUGAAUAUCAAAGGUGAGCCAGUACAGGAUGGACCCGCGUCUGAUUAGCUAGUUGGUAAGGUAACGGCUUACCAAGGCGACGAUCAGUAGCCGACCUGAGAGGGUGAUCGGCCACAUUGGAACUGAGACACGGUCCAAACUCCUACGGGAGGCAGCAGUGGGGAAUAUUGCACAAUGGGCGAAAGCCUGAUGCAGCAACGCCGCGUGAGUGAUGAAGGCCUUCGGGUCGUAAAACUCUGUCCUCAAGGAAGAUAAUGACGGUACUUGAGGAGGAAGCCCCGGCUAACUACGUGCCAGCAGCCGCGGUAAUACGUAGGGGGCUAGCGUUAUCCGGAUUUACUGGGCGUAAAGGGUGCGUAGGCGGUCUUUCAAGUCAGGAGUGAAAGGCUACGGCUCAACCGUAGUAAGCUCUUGAAACUGGGAGACUUGAGUGCAGGAGAGGAGAGUGGAAUUCCUAGUGUAGCGGUGAAAUGCGUAGAUAUUAGGAGGAACACCAGUUGCGAAGGCGGCUCUCUGGACUGUAACUGACGCUGAGGCACGAAAGCGUGGGGAGCAAACAGGAUUAGAUACCCUGGUAGUCCACGCUGUAAACGAUGAGUACUAGGUGUCGGGGGUUACCCCCUUCGGUGCCGCAGCUAACGCAUUAAGU